RNAcentral lists this transfer RNA (73 nucleotides) under Zea mays. It matches the Rfam family "tRNA". From Rfam's summary of the family: Transfer RNA (tRNA) molecules are approximately 80 nucleotides in length. Lineage: Eukaryota; Viridiplantae; Streptophyta; Magnoliopsida; Poales; Poaceae. The record is from Rfam by way of RNAcentral.
GCUUGUUUAGCUCAGUUGGUAGAGUGCAAGCCUCUUAACCUUGUGGUCGUGGGUUUGAGCCCCACGGUGCGCG